CGAGGGACGACCUUAGGUGGAGUUUCCGGAAAAGCAAAUGUAGGUAUAAGUAACGAUAAAGAGGGUGAGAUGCCCUCUCGCCGAUAGACCAAGGUUUCCCGGGCAACGUUAAUCGGCCCGGGGUUAGACGGACCCUAAGGAUAAGCCGAACGGCGAAGCCGAUGGAAAAACGGUCAAAAUUCCGUUUCUUCCGUAUGGGGCGAUGCGGUGACGGAGAAGUGACACUCCCGCGCACAGACGGAAUAGUGCGUUUAACAGUGUAAACGUCGAUGAAGGCAGGCAAAUCCACCUUCAGAGUUGAAACUGGAAAGUACAUGACGCCUUCGGGCCGAUUGAUAGUGGAGGUAAUCCUGCUCCCGAGAAAAC
RNAcentral lists this ribosomal RNA (366 nucleotides) under Weissella confusa. RNAcentral describes it as "partial 23S ribosomal RNA". It matches the Rfam family "Bacterial large subunit ribosomal RNA", at positions 1257 to 1617 of the family's 2925-position model. Lineage: Bacteria; Bacillati; Bacillota; Bacilli; Lactobacillales; Lactobacillaceae. The record is from RNAcentral.